UACGGAGGGUGCAAGCGUUAUCCGGAUUUAUUGGGUUUAAAGGGUGCGUAGGCGGGAUAAUAAGUCAGGGGUGAAAGUUUGCAGCUUAACUGUAAAAUUGCCUUUGAAACUGUUAUUCUUGAGUGUAAAUAAGGUAGGCGGAAUGUGUUGUGUAGCGGUGAAAUGCAUAGAUAUAACACAGAACCCCGAUUGCGAAGGCAGCUUACCGGGCUACAACUGACGCUGAUGCACGAAAGCGUGGGGAU
RNAcentral lists this ribosomal RNA (245 nucleotides) under uncultured Carboxylicivirga sp. Its description in RNAcentral is "partial 16S ribosomal RNA". It matches the Rfam family "Bacterial small subunit ribosomal RNA", at positions 524 to 768 of the family's 1533-position model. Lineage: Bacteria; Pseudomonadati; Bacteroidota; Bacteroidia; Marinilabiliales; Marinilabiliaceae. The record is from RNAcentral.